This 273-nucleotide long non-coding RNA is filed under the name Setaria italica (foxtail millet). Its description in RNAcentral is "long non-coding RNA (SITA_LNC001332)". The record is from RNAcentral. Lineage: Eukaryota; Viridiplantae; Streptophyta; Magnoliopsida; Poales; Poaceae.
AUCUGAUCCAAAGGGUGGGUGUGCCGAAGCUGUGAGAUAUGGUAAGCAUGUAGAGGUGUUUCUACCGAAGCUACGGUUCUUUGAUUGUGGUGAGGCCUCAGUGGAAUUUUUGAAGGAGUUGGAGGAAACUAUGGGAGGUGUUGGUGAGGUUAGUUGUGAGGAUCAUGUGAGGCUAAAAGUUAAAUGUUAUGAUGUAGGUGAGAGGUUGCCGGCGAGCCUCCAAGAGCUGAACGAGUGUCUAGGCUUGAGCGGGCGCACGGAGAUUCUAGCUAC